Molecule: ribosomal RNA, 147 nt
Filed under: Pichia membranifaciens
Lineage: Eukaryota; Fungi; Ascomycota; Pichiomycetes; Pichiales; Pichiaceae
Description: 5.8S ribosomal RNA
Source: RNAcentral
CCUUCUUGUGCACCGGGGUCUUUGCAGAUCCUCUCUGCGCAGAGCUGGCCGUGCCACUGGCCCGGCCGAAAAGAAACGUUGCGGACGAAGCGAACUACAUCGGGACGCUUUGGCCGCCGAGCGAAAAAAAAACACCAUUGAGCUCGA